Molecule: long non-coding RNA, 1533 nt
Organism: Pan troglodytes (chimpanzee)
Lineage: Eukaryota; Metazoa; Chordata; Mammalia; Primates; Hominidae
Exons: 7
Source: RefSeq, a predicted model, not a curated record
UUGCAUCACAGCCAGAUGUCUGGUUGCCGUGUUGUGUUUGGGAGAUAAACGCCAGGGUUCCUUUGAAUCCUGAAUUUAAAUAAAAGAAGGGGGGUGCUGAGGAGAAGCCUCUGUUGGGCAGAGGUACCUUCCAGAUCUUGAUCUCCUUCCUUGAUACCCACCCCCCACAACCCCCACCCCAGAUUAGAAAACUGAGGCCCAGAGAAGGAAAGUAGCUGCCAGAGGUCACACAGCUAGGAUUGAGGGAUCAGAGGGUCCUGGGUCUCCAGCUGCCCCAGUUGAACAGGGGGCUGUCCCUGCGGCUCUCAAGGCGUUCCGGGGCUGUGAGUCAUCGGGAAUGUCUGUUCUGACUGCGGCUUCCCUCUCCUGACGUGGACCCUCUUACUCCUCCUCCCCCACACUCAGGGAGAGGGUGCCCCUCCCAGGCAGGGGGCUCUGAAGUGGGGGAGGAAGCCACAGGCAGGCCUGGGAUGAGGUCUUGCUCCCCGAUUGCCAUCGGAAGGAGGCUUCGAAGACUUGCACGCCCCUCACCCAGAUUCUACCUUCCCAAGAGUUCCUCCUCCCCCACAAGCUGGCACGUGUGGAUAUUGGCUCUGUUUGCCUUUGACCCCUAGUGAAAGAAAAUACUGAGGACCACAGGUCAUCCUCAAGCCUUCCCCAGGCUAUCCUUGUCCCUGAAUACUAAUGUCUAAAGGUCAGCCCAGCUACCACCAGUGUGCAUGUGAUGUGUCCCAUCUCCCCUUCGGAUUGGAGGAAGAAGCUGUGUCCCUCCCAUCAGACAGACGGUCUCCUUAAAGAUUCUCCUGGUCUCCAGCUCGGGCUCUGCUGGAAAGAAGAGGAAGUAUGUAGCAAGGGUGAAGAUGGGUUCUUACUUCCCUGAGGCAACCAGAGAUAAGAAAAGACCGGAAUAUGAAUAUCCAGCAUUCCACAAAGAAUCCUACAGGCAGGGAUAUUGCCCAAUCACCAGUGCCUCGCAUCCCAGUUCUAUCCAAGAUCCAAGCUUGAUAUCCUCCUGAAAGACUUCCUGAAUCAGGUCACCAACAUGGACAUCUGAACUUCCGGAAUCAGGUCACCGUCUUUCUUCUCAUCUCUGGAUGUAUUUGGAGCUCAUUUGUCUGACGGUUUUUGAAUGCUAUCUUUUAAAAAUAAACUUUUACAAUUUGGGUUUAAUAAUUCUAGAUUUAUAGAAAAGUUGAAAAGAAAGUACAGAAAGUUCCCAUAUAUCCCUUAUCCAGUUCCCUUAAUGUUAACCUCCUACAUCAUCAUGGAACAUUUGCCAAAAUGAAGAUGUCAACACUGGUGCUUUGCUGUGAACUAAACUCCAGACUUUAUUCGGAUUUCAUGAAUUUUUCUCCUAAGGUCCCUUUUCCUUUCCGGCAUUCCAUCCAGGAUAUCACAUUGCAUUUGGUGUUUGUGUCUCCUUGGUCUCCUCUGGUUCUUGAGAGUUUCUCAGUCUCUCCUUGUUUUUCAUGACUGAAGUUUCAAGGAGUACUGGUCAGGUAUUCCAUAGAAUGUCCUACUGUUAGCUUUCAG